RNAcentral lists this long non-coding RNA (939 nucleotides) under Nicotiana benthamiana. Its description in RNAcentral is "long non-coding RNA (NBEN_LNC034789)". Lineage: Eukaryota; Viridiplantae; Streptophyta; Magnoliopsida; Solanales; Solanaceae. The record is from RNAcentral.
UCUUAUUCUUUUAAUAAAUAACCGAAGUCGACUAUAGUUACAAAUUUAGCCACUAACCACUUAUUUAGUACCGUAUCUUGUAUAGAAAAAAAAAAUCCUUCCACAAACUUAAUAUUUGAUCCAAUAACUAUAAUAAAAUUAAUUCCUAAUUCUCACAUUUAAUUACUAUAUAAAUAUAUUUCAGAUUAUGUUACAAAUGACAACCCAAACCAAGCUUAAUUCUAUACUGGACCUCCAAAACCACUUCCGAUCACACUCCUAAGUCACAAUUCACCAUCCGAAUCUAGUCGGAUCAUCGAAAAUCCAUUCCGAGCCCUCUAACUCAUAAGUCAAUGCUCGGUUGAUUUUUCCAAACUAACCUUCUCAUAAAGGGACUAGUUGUCUCAUUUCUAUCCAAACUCCACCCGACUUACUUCAAACUCUCCAAAUACAUAUAUUGAAAUAUAUAAAAGUAAUAAACGGGGAAAACAGGACGAUAAUUCAUGGGACGACAUGUCAGGUUGUUACAUCCUCCCCAAACCUAAACAAACGCUCGUCUUUGACCGAGUCAAGAAACAUGCCUGGAAUAUCAAACAAGUGAGGAUAUUAGCUGUGCAUCUCCUGCUCGGUCUCCCAAGUGGCUUCUUCCACGGACCGACCUCUCCACUGCACCUUCACCGACGCUAUGUCCUUAGAUCUCAGCUUUCAAAUCUGGCGACCCAAAAUAGCCACUGGCUCCACAUCAUAGGUCAAGUCUUCAUCCAACUAGAUCGUGCUGAAGUCUAACACAUGAGACGGAUCCCAACAUACUUCCGGAGCAUAGAAACGUGGAACACCGGGUGAACUCUUGACAAGCUAGGCAGCAAAGCGAGCAUAUAUGCCACCUCCCCAAUCCUCCUAAGUAUCUCAAAAGGUCUAAUGAACCUUGGACUCAACUUCCCUUUCUUCCCAAACCUCAUA